AACAAGUCAGCCGGUGGUGGAGGGAGCAGGAGUCAGGGUGUGGGAACCCAGGCUGAGGUAUGCGGGAACGUGCAGACGGCAGCGAAGUCCAAUUUUAGCUGAUUGGGAGGCUGCAGGCAGUUCUUGGAGAAGGGAACAGAGUGGGUCUGGCUCACCUGUCUCUCCCAACCCUAGCUCCUUCUGAAGGCACCGUCCUCCUCUCCCAGGCAGGAAGCAGGUAGGGGAGGGGACCGAUGUCCACCACUGCUGACUGCAGCCUCCUCUGAACCCCGGCUGGGUUUCCCAGGCUGUAGAACAAGUGCCGGAAGAGAUCCAUUUUUUCCUUCACUGAUUCCCGCAUUCGGUCAUUCUGCAAACAAGUGUUGAAUCACCUGCCAGGUGUACCUGCCGGGAGACCCAGCUGUGGACACCUGGUGAGGUCCUGGCCCUCACAGCUGGGCCAUUCCAGCGGGGGGACAGUCAACAGACAAGCAGGAAACAUAAUGACAGCUCCUCCCUGAAGGGCGCCUAGGGAUGAAAGGAGAUGAGCUUUGUCUGGUGCCGGCACCUGGAACGUGCUCAAAAUAUGUUAACAAGGACGAGAAGGGCUCAGCCCUGGAGAGGUACUCUGAAUUUGAGGACUGCUACUGAGUUCUUAUUUCAUAAAACCCAAAUCCUGCUGUUACCAUGUUAAGGCAAACGCUCCCCAUGGCAAAUUCUUCCUGAGCUCUUGUUAUAUGCAUUGUCUCAUUUCAUCCUUACAGUACCCUCAUAAAGAUAAAACUAUCUACUAGGAGAUAGUAGAUAUCUAUCUACUAGUAGUAGAUAUCUAUCUAUCUACACUUCCGAUACCAAAUAUGUGAAUAUUUUUUCCUCCACACCAGCCAAUUCUCCAAUUCUCUGGACACCGGGUAUCCUAUAAUUUAAUUUGAUUCUGACACUACUUACCUGGAGUUGGGUAUCGAAUCCCACAGGUUUAGGGCUCAGUCCCACAGACUGCUGGGAGUCCUGAUCCCACACCCUGGGCAGGGCAAGGUGUUAGGUCAGACAGACAGAAACCAGUCCGUAUGCCUGUGUGUCUCUUUGCAUGUGAGGUUUUGUUUGGGGUUGUAUGUCUCUCUAAAGAAGGCUGAGUGUCAAAGAACUGAUGCUUUCGAACUGUGGUGCUGGAGAAGACUCUUGAGAGUCCCUUGGACUGCAACGAGAUGAAAGCAGUCAAUCCUAAAGGAAAUCAACCCUGAAUAUUCACCAGGAGGACUAAUGCUGAAGCUGAAGCUCCAAUACUUUGUCCACCUGAUGUGAAGAGCUGACUCAUUGGAAAAUGCCCUGAUGCUGGGAAAGAUUGAAGGUGGAGGAGAAGGGGGUGGCAGAGGAUGAGAUGGUUGGAUGGCAUCACCGACUUGAUGGACAUGAGUUUGAGCAAGCUCUGGGAGUCGGUGAUGGACGGGGAGACCUGGCGUGCUGCAGUGCAUGGAGUUGCAAAGAGUCAGAUACAACUUAGCAACACAACCCUUCGCCUCCUCAGAGCAGUCUCUCAGAGCUAUCUGAACUGCUGUCUGCCUGGCUGCAGUCCUCAUUUUGGUCCAAAUAAAACUUAACUGGCAACUCUUA
This is a long non-coding RNA of Dama dama (fallow deer), 1590 nucleotides long. RefSeq lists it as uncharacterized. The record is from RefSeq and is a predicted model, not a curated record. The transcript has 4 exons. NCBI's taxonomy places the organism in Eukaryota, Metazoa, Chordata, Mammalia, Artiodactyla, Cervidae.